AACGAACGCUGGCGGCAUGCCUAACACAUGCAAGUCGAACGAGACCUUCGGGUCUAGUGGCGCACGGGUGCGUAACGCGUGGGAAUCUGCCCUUGGGUUCGGAAUAACAGCGAGAAAUUGCUGCUAAUACCGGAUGAUGACGUAAGUCCAAAGAUUUAUCGCCCAAGGAUGAGCCCGCGUAGGAUUAGCUAGUUGGUGAGGUAAAGGCUCACCAAGGCGACGAUCCUUAGCUGGUCUGAGAGGAUGAUCAGCCACACUGGGACUGAGACACGGCCCAGACUCCUACGGGAGGCAGCAGUGGGGAAUAUUGGACAAUGGGCGAAAGCCUGAUCCAGCAAUGCCGCGUGAGUGAUGAAGGCCUUAGGGUUGGUAAAGCUCUUUUACCCGGGUAUGAUAAUGACAGUACCGGGAGAAUAAGCUCCGGCUAACUCCGUGCCAGC
Molecule: ribosomal RNA, 440 nt
Filed under: uncultured bacterium
Lineage: Bacteria
Description: bacterial SSU rRNA
Rfam family: Bacterial small subunit ribosomal RNA
Source: RNAcentral